AGAGGAAAGCAUUUCAAUUCGACAGAAGCAGCAGUGAAAUGGUACAUUCAGCCAAUAAUGAUACAUCCAUGGUGGACCAGGUGAGAAAGAGAGAGACAGAGAGAGGAUGCACAAAUGAUGAUAAUUUAACUUAAAAGAGAACAUGAUCAUCAACCAUCCAACCAAAGAUCAACGUCCACCGAUUCAACACGAAAGGAACAACCCGCGAAAGUAGAAUGAAGAGAAACACAAGGAAAAAAAAACAUACACAGAAGAAAAUCGAAGGUGAAAUUCAAUAAUAGACAAUUUUUUUUUUUUGUUUAUUUUUCUGAUUUCGGGUCUAGUAGUCAGUGGUUGGGAGCUGCUCGUGGGUGUGGCUGAUGAAGACGACCUCGUAGAUGACUCCGGCGAUGCCACCACCGAUGAGAGGGCCGACCCAGUAGAUCCAGUUGUUUUCCCAGGUCCAGCUAACAACGGCAGGUCCGAAUGUGACGGCAGGGUUCAUGGCUGCUCCGGAGAAGGCCCCACCCAACAAAAUGUUAGCGCCAACGAUGAAACCAAUGGCGAUGGGAGCAAUGGUUCCCAAACUACCCCUCUUGGGGUCAACGGCGGUAGCGUAGACAGUGUACA
This 609-nucleotide long non-coding RNA is filed under the name Vigna radiata. RNAcentral's name for it is "long non-coding RNA (VRAD_LNC002410)". Lineage: Eukaryota; Viridiplantae; Streptophyta; Magnoliopsida; Fabales; Fabaceae. The record is from RNAcentral.